RNAcentral lists this ribosomal RNA (497 nucleotides) under uncultured bacterium. RNAcentral describes it as "partial 16S ribosomal RNA". It matches the Rfam family "Bacterial small subunit ribosomal RNA", at positions 28 to 507 of the family's 1533-position model. The record is from RNAcentral.
GAUGAACGCUGGCGGCGUGCCUAAUACAUGCCAGUCGAGCGAACGGACGAGAAGCUUGCUUCUCUGAUGUUAGCGGCGGACGGGUGAGUAACACGUGGAUAACCUACCUAUAAGACUGGGAUAACUUCGGGAAACCGGAGCUAAUACCGGAUAAUAUUUUGAACUGCAUGGUUCAAAAGUGAAAGACGGUCUUGCUGUCACUUAUAGAUGGAUCCGCGCUGCAUUAGCUAGUUGGUAAGGUAACGGCUUACCAAGGCAACGAUGCAUAGCCGACCUGAGAGGGUGAUCGGCCACACUGGAACUGAGACACGGUCCAGACUCCUACGGGAGGCAGCAGUAGGGAAUCUUCCGCAAUGGGCGAAAGCCUGACGGAGCAACGCCGCGUGAGUGAUGAAGGUCUUCGGAUCGUAAAACUCUGUUAUUAGGGAAGAACAUAUGUGUAAGUAACUGUGCACAUCUUGACGGUACCUAAUCAGAAAGCCACGGCUAACUACGUG